RNAcentral lists this ribosomal RNA (301 nucleotides) under uncultured bacterium. RNAcentral describes it as "partial 16S ribosomal RNA". It matches the Rfam family "Bacterial small subunit ribosomal RNA", at positions 509 to 807 of the family's 1533-position model. The record is from RNAcentral.
CAGCAGCCACGGGAACACGAGGGGGGCAAGCGUUGUUCGGAAUUAUUGGGCGUAAAGGGCUCGCAGGCGGUUUCUUAAGUCUGAUGUGAAAGCCCCCGGCUCAACCGGGGAGGGUCAUUGGAAACUGGGAAACUUGAGUGCAGAAGAGGAGAGUGGAAUUCCACGUGUAGCGGUGAAAUGCGUAGAGAUGUGGAGGAACACCAGUGGCGAAGGCGACUCUCUGGUCUGUAACUGACGCUGAGGAGCGAAAGCGUGGGGAGCGAACAGGAUUAGAUACCCCCGUAGUCCCUGUCUCUUAUAC